Molecule: ribosomal RNA, 200 nt
Filed under: uncultured bacterium
Lineage: Bacteria
Description: partial 16S ribosomal RNA
Rfam family: Bacterial small subunit ribosomal RNA
Source: RNAcentral
AGAGUUUGAUCCUGGCUCAGGAUGAACGCUGGCGGCGUGCCUAAUACAUGCAAGUCGAGCGGUAAGGCCACUUCGGUGGUACACGAGCGGCGGACGGCUGAGUAACACGUAGGAACAUACCCCAAACUGAGGGAUAAGCACCAGAAAUGGUGUCUAAUACCGCAUGUGGUCCAAGGACUAAAGCUACGGCGGUUUGGGAA